AAGUCGUAACAAGGUCUCCGUAGGUGAACCUGCGGAGGGAUCAUUACUGAGUGAGGGAGCAAUCCCGACCUCCAACCCUUUGUGAACGCAUCAUGUUGCUUUGGGGGCGACCCUGCCGUUUCGCGGCAUUCCCCCCGAAGGUCAUCAAAACACUGCAUUCUUACGUCGGAGUAAAAAGUUAAUUUAAUAAAACUUUCAACAACGGAUCUCUUGGUUCUG
Molecule: unclassified non-coding RNA, 219 nt
Filed under: Ramularia sp.
Lineage: Eukaryota; Fungi; Ascomycota; Dothideomycetes; Mycosphaerellales; Mycosphaerellaceae
Description: partial internal transcribed spacer region
Rfam family: Eukaryotic small subunit ribosomal RNA (bases 1-46)
Source: RNAcentral